Molecule: ribosomal RNA, 120 nt
Filed under: uncultured bacterium
Lineage: Bacteria
Description: partial 16S ribosomal RNA
Rfam family: Bacterial small subunit ribosomal RNA
Source: RNAcentral
AUCGGACAGGGAUGGCCAUGCGCACCAUUAGCUUGUUGGGGGGUAACGGCCCACCAAGGCUACGAUGGUUAGGGGCCCUGAGAGGGGGAUCCCCCACACUGGUACUGAGACACGGACCAG